This 271-nucleotide ribosomal RNA is filed under the name uncultured bacterium. Its description in RNAcentral is "partial 16S ribosomal RNA". It matches the Rfam family "Bacterial small subunit ribosomal RNA", at positions 524 to 794 of the family's 1533-position model. The record is from RNAcentral.
GACAGAGGAUGCAAGCGUUAUCUGGAAUGAUUGGGCGUAAGGCGUCUGUAGGUGGCUUUUCAAGUCCGCCGUCCAAUCCCAGGGCUCAACCCUGGACAGGCGGUGGAAACUACCAAGCUGGAGUACGGUAGGGGCAGAGGGAAUUUCCGGUGGAGCGGUGAAAUGCGUAGAGAUCGGAAAGAACACCAACGGCGAAGGCACCCUGCUGGGCCGACACUGACACUGAGAGACGAAAGCUAGGGGAGCGAAUGGGAUUAGAAACCCGGGUAGU